GGAUGUGACAAUACCUUGGUGGAGGGGUUGCCACAAGCGGCACCAGUGGUGCCAGUGGCAGAGGUGACACCGAUGGUGCCACUACCACAGGCGGCACCACUCCGCUUAUAAUGGGGGGACCAUUCGGCUGGUGGGUGGAGAAGAAAAGGAGAGGGAAAGGAGAAGAAAGAAAGAAAGAAAAGGAAAGGAGAAGAAAGAAAAGGAGAGAAAGAAAAAGGAAAGGAGAAGAAAGAAAAAGAAAGGAGAAGAAGAAGAGGGAAGGAAGGAAAAAGAAAGAAAAAAAAGAAGGUAAAUUUUUUUGUAUUAAUUUAUUUUUUUUUGUAAUAUUUGUGUAAAAAAUCUAUGUUAUGUA
This 352-nucleotide long non-coding RNA is filed under the name Gossypium raimondii (Peruvian cotton). Its description in RNAcentral is "long non-coding RNA (GRAI_LNC007723)". Lineage: Eukaryota; Viridiplantae; Streptophyta; Magnoliopsida; Malvales; Malvaceae. The record is from RNAcentral.